GCUCAAAUCCCGGCUCCAUUUCUGUCCUUUGGAGCCUAUCACUCGAGAAAUUGCCCUUUAAGGGUUGUAUGAAACUGGGUGGUUCCCGCAAUGUCUUAUCCAUCAAUCCCUUGAUUGAAAGAUGGGAAGCUGGAUAUUCUGUGUUCAGCGCGUCCUGGAACUGCGUGGCCCCUUGCCUUCAAAACCCCAACUCUUCCCAAUCUUUCGAAAUGAUAUGAAUGGUGUGACCUGUUAUAUUCUUCUCCGGAUUGAGGACUACUAACUAGUCAACCUUGAGUGUAUCCCAGGCGGCAGAUUGCAGUUCACUUGCCUUAGAGAGUCUCCAUGCUGGCCAAUAUAUGCUCCUGAUCCUCAGUGCUGCUCUCUCUUCUGAAAAAAAAAAAAAAAAAAAAAAAAAAAAAAAAAAACAUGCAGAGCCUUCCUAUUUCUAUGCCAGUCUGUUCUAAUUUUACUAUUCAAUGGAUGUUGAGGGCACCAAUUUCUCUCUUACUCUAAGCUCUUUCACUUCUCAUCGUCGCCGCCAACAAUGUCGCGGCUUGGAUAUAAAAGGGCGCUCAUUUCCUGCUAUGAGAUUCUUCAAAUCAACCGUCGCAGAAUUUGUUCCAUUGUUGAAAUGGUAGUGUAACUAUCGAUUGGAUGCUGCGUCAUAUGGGACAAAACAACACUCCGCCAGCACGCUAGUGGCUGCUCACACUGCCAUGGAGAUAUCACGACGAUGGGUAUAGGAGGCUUGUUGGAAUGCAACAUUGGCGAAGGGGUAGUGGAGGCAGACGACUAUGUAUUUGCUUGUUCACGAGUAACUGGUUAUGCAUAUUCAAGAAUAUCUCAUCUCAGUGGAAUAUCAUGAAUCAUCCAACCCGUAUGCUACACCGGCAAAUGCGCCAUUAAAGCGAAUUGUAAAAUUAAUCAAGCG
RNAcentral lists this small RNA (913 nucleotides) under Histoplasma capsulatum var. duboisii H88. RNAcentral describes it as "Histoplasma capsulatum H88 hypothetical RNA". Lineage: Eukaryota; Fungi; Ascomycota; Eurotiomycetes; Onygenales; Ajellomycetaceae. The record is from RNAcentral.